RNAcentral lists this ribosomal RNA (1436 nucleotides) under uncultured organism. Its description in RNAcentral is "SSU rRNA". It matches the Rfam family "Bacterial small subunit ribosomal RNA". The record is from RNAcentral.
AUUGAACGCUGGCGGCAUGCCUUACACAUGCAAGUCGAACGGUAACAGGUUAAGCUGACGAGUGGCGAACGGGUGAGUAAUGUAUCGGAACGUGCCCAGUCGUGGGGGAUAACUGCUCGAAAGAGCAGCUAAUACCGCAUACGACCUGAGGGUGAAAGCGGGGGAUCGCAAGACCUCGCGCGAUUGGAGCGGCCGAUAUCAGAUUAGGUAGUUGGUGGGGUAAAGGCUCACCAAGCCAACGAUCUGUAGCUGGUCUGAGAGGACGACCAGCCACACUGGGACUAAGACACGGCCCAGACUCCUACGGGAGGCAGCAGUGGGGAAUUUUGGACAAUGAGCGCAAGCCUGAUCCAGCCAUGCCGCGUGCGGGAAGAAGGCCUUCGGGUUGUAAACCGCUUUUGUCAGGGAAGAAAAGGUUCUGGCUAAUACCUGGGACUCAUGACGGUACCUGAAGAAUAAGCACCGGCUAACUACGUGCCAGCAGCCGCGGUAAUACGUAGGGUGCAAGCGUUAAUCGGAAUUACUGGGCGUAAAGCGUGCGCAGGCGGUUAUGCAAGACAGAGGUGAAAUCCCCGGGCUCAACCUGGGAACUGCCUUUGUGACUGCAUAGCUAGAGUGCGGCAGAGGGGGAUGGAAUUCCGCGUGUAGCAGUGAAAUGCGUAGAUAUGCGGAGGAACACCGAUGGCGAAGGCAAUCCCCUGGGCCUGCACUGACGCUCAUGCACGAAAGCGUGGGGAGCAAACAGGAUUAGACACCCUGGUAGUCCACGCCCUAAACGAUGUCAACUGGUUGUUGGGAGGGUUUCUUCUCAGUAACGUAGCUAACGCGUGAAGUUGACCGCCUGGGGAGUACGGCCGCAAGGUUGAAACUCAAAGGAAUUGACGGGGACCCGCACAAGCGGUGGAUGAUGUGGUUUAAUUCGAUGCAACGCGAAAAACCUUACCUACCCUUGACAUGUCUGGAAUCCUGAAGAGAUUUGGGAGUGCUCGAAAGAGAGCCAGAACACAGGUGCUGCAUGGCCGUCGUCAGCUCGUGUCGUGAGAUGUUGGGUUAAGUCCCGCAACGAGCGCAACCCUUGUCAUUAGUUGCUACGAAAGGGCACUCUAAUGAGACUGCCGGUGACAAACCGGAGGAAGGUGGGGAUGACGUCAGGUCAUCAUGGCCCUUAUGGGUAGGGCUACACACGUCAUACAAUGGCCGGGACAGAGGGCUGCCAACCCGCGAGGGGGAGCUAAUCCCAGAAACCCGGUCGUAGUCCGGAUCGUAGUCUGCAACUCGACUGCGUGAAGUCGGAAUCGCUAGUAAUCGCGGAUCAGCUUGCCGCGGUGAAUACGUUCCCGGGUCUUGUACACACCGCCCGUCACACCAUGGGAGCGGGUUCUGCCAGAAGUAGUUAGCCUAACCGCAAGGAGGGCGAUUACCACGGCAGGGUUCGU